RNAcentral lists this long non-coding RNA (1483 nucleotides) under Astyanax mexicanus (Mexican tetra). Its description in RNAcentral is "lncRNA (ENSAMXG00005013711.1)". Lineage: Eukaryota; Metazoa; Chordata; Actinopteri; Characiformes; Acestrorhamphidae. The record is from RNAcentral.
AAAAAAAACAAAACAAAAAAAAAGGUUAGGAUUGACAGGAUGCAGGUGUAGUUUGAAGCCUGCAGAUCUGAGUCUCUAAAGCUGCGUGUAUAAGCUUACAAAGCUAUAAAGAAAUCCCUCCUUUGUGUUUUCUGUUGACAGGUAGAACCUGCUUUGCGUGCUUCUCGCUGAUCAUGGUGACCUCAUGCAUGUAGUGAACUGUUACCAAGUUCCCUCAUAAUGUUGUACGUCUCAGUGGUGAUGUGUCACUGAGUGUGAUAUCAGUGUGUGAACGUGACUCGCUGCUUAUCUGCAGCAAAUCUUCAAAGCAUUUAAAAGACUCAUCUGGGGACUAUGGUGGGAUAUGGUUUCUGCUGAAAAUAAACCCAAGAAGAAAGGAAAAGAUGAAAAGAAAAACCUCUGCAGUGCCUGGGAGGGUUUCGAGGCAGACAACAGAACAAAUGAUGAUAAUGUGCUUUAUGGAUGCUGGAAGGCUAAACAGCAGAUUAAGCACAAAUGCAGAUAUCUGGAUGAGAAGAACGUCGUGGUGGCGGAUCAUUUACGAAGGUGUCCCUGGUCCUCUGGCUCAGAGCGGAGUGAUGUGGCAGAAAAAAUACCCCCGGGAUUGGACGCAUCUCAAGAUAAUACUCUCUCCACUACAUCUCCUGUGGUCCUUCCGGCAGAUCCGAGCCCUUUGAGACAAAGCCCUUCUGACACUGACUGUUUCCCAGCAAAUAACAAUGCACUUGUUAACCCGAUGAUCCAUAAACAAAGUAUCAUUUAUGGUCUCAGCCCGAUGGGAACAAGCAGCUUAGAAGUGAAGAAGCAUAGCCUGCCCUUGAUACGAUGGGCUCCUGCUGCAUCUCGGGUGCUGAUGCUGGAGGAGCCCGUGGCCUGGCGAUGUAAAGGAUUGGCUACAGUGAACCGUGAAGCAAGGCCUGCUGAACCUUCACAGCUCUGGAAAAGGGCAUCUGGCAAGAAGCUGGAAUGGGGCCAUGGGCGGCCGGCCAGGCUGGCACAUCUGCAGGUGCAGUCACCCAAAAACGGCCCGUCUGUGGCCAGAAAAAGGCCCGUGAUCCAGAGAGAGGCCAGGCUAACUGCGGGUCACGGAGGGGUACAGGUGCAGGACAGUCAUGUGGAACAGAACUUCAGUCAAAAAGCAGCAGAGACUAAACAUAGAGACCUGCCACACGACAGCGAUGGGUCAGCCUCAGGAGUACCAACGAACAAACAAGCACUUUAUAACUCUUUGGAUCUUUGGAGCCCAACACAAGCAGAGGCAGGACUCAGCUCAGCACAACUGGUACAACAAGGAGGCAUCGCCACGGCCUGCUCCGAUGUGAGUCAGUGGAUGGAUGUGCUGUGUCAGUCUGGAUACCAAGGAAACAGCAAGUCCUCCACCGGAUUCCGGGACGUCACCUUAUUCCACGUUCUCCAAAUUCUACAGAGCAAACCAGUCCAUUUCCCACAAGUCGGGGGUCAGAGACGUCUCGAGGUUCUUUAG